Molecule: transfer RNA, 73 nt
Filed under: Thermoplasmata archaeon
Lineage: Archaea; Methanobacteriati; Thermoplasmatota; Thermoplasmata
Also listed under: 1 other name
Description: tRNA-Gln
Rfam family: tRNA
About the family: Transfer RNA (tRNA) molecules are approximately 80 nucleotides in length. Their secondary structure includes four short double-helical elements and three loops (D, anti-codon, and T loops).
Source: RNAcentral
AGCCCCGUAGUGUAGUGGUCAAUCAUCUCGGACUCUGGAUCCGAGGACGGAGGUUCGAAUCCUCCCGGGGCUA